Molecule: non-coding RNA, 92 nt
Organism: Phrynosoma platyrhinos (Desert horned lizard)
Lineage: Eukaryota; Metazoa; Chordata; Lepidosauria; Squamata; Phrynosomatidae
Source: the annotation of a GenBank genome assembly
GCCCUGGUGGCACAGUGGUUAAAUGCCUGUACUGCAGCCACUCACUCAUACUCAUAAACCACAAGGUUGCGAGUUCAAUACUAGCCAGGGCU